CGUCCCUGGUGUGGUGGAGUCUGGCUGUUGGACCAGAGGAGAUCCGGUCAGCUGAGAGGAGGCUCCUGAAGAAGACCUUCCCAUACCGGACCAAGGAGCAGGCCCGGAGGCAGCAGAGGUUCCUGUGGAAGUUCGCCUCCUCUCCAGCCUUCAGUGAGAAGUCCAGGUAUGGAUCGUACCGCUUCACCUUCAGGGUGGAGGAGGUGCUGGAGGCCUACAGCGAGCAGUCUGGUCCUUGUACCUGACCACAAAGCACCAAACACAUGGGAGGAACCAGUGCUGCAAAGAUAAUUUUGCUUCGGUGCUCCACCCGUCUUGCGAGUGUUCAAGACCUCCCUGUACAAACAGGAAGUGGUGUAUACUGUGCUGGUCCACAGACCGCACGAUGACGGGCGCUUCUCCGAGUACCCCGAGCUUCCCGAUGACGACCCGAACGCCGUCUGUGCUUACAGACGAGAAGAAAACAUCUUCAUCUGGAGACCAGAGGCCAUGUGUGGGACACACUGGUAUGAGCUGGACUACAGACCUGAGGACAACCUGAUGGAAGCCUGGGAGCUGGAUGAUUGCCCACAGUAUUAUGUUUGGGAUCACGUCGCCCUCGCCCUGCAUGUGGAGAGCGGACAGGUGCUGAAGUUCGACUCCGAUCGACUGAGACAGAACCUCAAGUUCUGUGAGCGAGACGACGUGACCAUCGCACCGAAAUUCUACUUUGAUGAUUGUGAGGAAGCUCAGAGCGUUAUCGAAAGUCUGUGGCCCGAGUCGUCACUGGAGAAGAACUUUGCAGGUCUCUCUCUUUAGGGGAAGAAAACCCCACAGCAGUGUUAAAGAGGCCUCAAGACUCGGUGCUGUGAGGCAACGAUCGGGUUUAACUUCUGCAAACUUUUCCUUUUUUAAAGAGACCAAACGUACACACUGCUGUGCAAAAAGCUUGAGGCACCUCGAUAAGAAGCAAACUAGUGAGAGAGCUGCUUAAAGUCUUAUUGAUGCUGUCAAGGAUAAGCCGCGCUGCUGAAGCAUCAGCGCCUCUGUGUGAGCGCACUGUCACUGUCAAAUCAUCAGCAACACUGGACGUUGUCACUCUGUCCUGUCUGCAGGAGACCAGUCUGCAAAUUUAAGAUUAGAAGACAUUUCAGAAAGUAAAGCUAUAUACAGUAUUAUUAUUAUUACGACUGUUACUGUAGUUAUUCUUAUGGGUGCUGUGUGAAAUUUAGGGUGACCACCUUUAUUCUCAGGAAUCCUUCUCCAGGCUUCCUGAAUUCAUUCAGAGCUCUUCUUUGUAUGUUUCUGCCUUUUGUCAUGUGAUAUGUGAUUGUUGGGGUUUCUCAGUAUCACUGUGGGGUUUUUCCUUGCAGUGUGAAACACCUCGAGGUUACUGUUGUUGUGAUUUGGUGCUAAAGAAAUACAACGAUGAUCUCACACUGCUUUGGAAAUGCUGAUGUUUCCUCUGAGGAGGCCGAUCCAUGACUGACGGUGUGUUUGGGAUCGUUGUCGUGCUGAAAACUGAGACUCUGGCCAAUCAGAUGCUUUCCAGACUGCUGGUAACAAAGUGUCUGAAGAUACAAUUUAAACAGCUUCUUUGAUUGGUCGUCUGUUACGUGUAAAAACGACACUGGUUCAUGUGGGUGGGGUUUCUCCACUUCUAUGCUCCAUCACGGUGGAGGUUAUACAUGUAACAGUGGAGGGGCGGAGACAGAAAAACUGCUUCACAUGCUUCGCUUUUGCAUUUUAUUAGUUGAUUUCAGAUAUACGACUUCCUGUAAUACCACAGAUACAUAAUUAUGUAUGAACAUGUAUGAUUAUGUGUUUUUAUGCAGUGUGUUCAUGUGCCUGAAUUUCAUACACAUUUCUACCUUUUUAUACAAUAAGACAAUAAAGUUCUUUUGAAUCUGAAUUUGUGUAUUUAUUAAGAGAACAAUCGUACAAUUAAUUAUAAACACAAAGAUUAGUUUAUUUAUAUUUCUAGAAUAAUAUUGAAAAGCUCUGAGACAUAUUAAUCUAAUUUGAUUGACCCCACCUUGAAGUUGGACCUGUGGGCGGG
This is a long non-coding RNA of Astatotilapia calliptera (eastern happy), 2038 nucleotides long. Lineage: Eukaryota; Metazoa; Chordata; Actinopteri; Cichliformes; Cichlidae. The record is from Ensembl.